AACGAACGCUGGCGGCAUGCCUAACACAUGCAAGUCGAACGAGACAUUCGGGCCUAGUGGUGCACGGGUGCGUAACGCGGGGGAACCUGCCCUUAGGUCCGGAAUAACUCCCCGAAUGGCGUGCUAAUACCGGCUAUUAUCCUCGGACCAAAGAUUUAUUGCCUUUGGAUGGGCCUGCGUUGGAUUAGAUAGUUGGUAGGGUAAAAGCCUACAAAGGCGACGUUCCAUAGCUGGUCUGAGAGGAUGAUCAGCCACACUGGUACUGAGACACGGCCCAGAAUAUUACGGGAGGCAGCAGUGGGGAAUAUUGGACAAUGGGCGAAAGCCUGAUGCAGCAAUGCCGCGUGAGUGAUGAAGGCCGUAGGGUCGUAAAGCUCUUUUACCCGGGAUGAUAAUGACGGUACCGGGAGAAUAAGCACCGGCUAACUCCGUG
This 433-nucleotide ribosomal RNA is filed under the name uncultured bacterium. RNAcentral's name for it is "partial 16S ribosomal RNA". It matches the Rfam family "Bacterial small subunit ribosomal RNA", at positions 29 to 507 of the family's 1533-position model. The record is from RNAcentral.